GACGAACGCUGGCGGCGUGCUUAACACAUGCAAGUCGAACGGAAAGGCCCUGCUUUUGUGGGGUGCUCGAGUGGCGAACGGGUGAGUAACACGUGAGUAACCUGCCCUUGACUUUGGGAUAACUUCAGGAAACUGGGGCUAAUACCGGAUAGGAGCUCCUGCUGCAUGGUGGGGGUUGGAAGGUUUCGGCGGUUGGGGAUGGACUCGCGGCUUAUCAGCUUGUUGGUGGGGUAGUGGCUUACCAAGGCUUUGACGGGUAGCCGGCCUGAGAGGGUGACCGGCCACAUUGGGACUGAGAUACGGCCCAGACUCCUACGGGAGGCAGCAGUGGAGAAUAUUGCACAAUGGGCGGAAGCCUGAUGCAGCAACACCGCGUGCGGGAUGACGGCCUUCGGGUUGUAAACCGCUUUCGCCUGUGACGAAGCGUGAGUGACGGUAAUGGGUAAAGAAGCACCGGCUAACUACGUG
This 468-nucleotide ribosomal RNA is filed under the name uncultured bacterium. Its description in RNAcentral is "partial 16S ribosomal RNA". It matches the Rfam family "Bacterial small subunit ribosomal RNA", at positions 28 to 507 of the family's 1533-position model. The record is from RNAcentral.